Non-coding RNA from Mollisiaceae sp. DMI_Dod_QoI, 82 nucleotides. NCBI's taxonomy places the organism in Eukaryota, Fungi, Ascomycota, Leotiomycetes, Helotiales, Mollisiaceae. The record is from the annotation of a GenBank genome assembly.
GCUUCUGUGGUCCAAUGGUUAGGAUUCCACCCUUCCAUGAAGAUGCAAGGUGGAGGUUCGUGUUCGAUUCACGGCAGUUGCA